GAGCAACAUUAUUCGAAACACGAUACUACGUGGCCCUUUUCUCUCUUUUGAUGUGACAUCUGAUGACCAUCGGAAUUGGAGCAUGUGAAUCACGCACAAAUAGAAA
Molecule: non-coding RNA, 106 nt
Organism: Caenorhabditis elegans
Lineage: Eukaryota; Metazoa; Nematoda; Chromadorea; Rhabditida; Rhabditidae
Source: Ensembl